UUCGGUUAUAUGUUUCGUGAUCUAUGUUGCAGACAGUGGACUAUAUUAUUUGCUGUACUGUACGUGACACAGAGUUCGUGUCUUUUUUAUUAAAGGUAAGUUUUAAUGUCAAAAAUUAAAGGUAACGUUAAGUGGUUUAAUGAAUCCAAAGGAUUUGGUUUUAUCACUCCAGAAGAUGGUAGUAAAGAUGUUUUUGUACACUUUUCCGCCAUUCAGUCUAGCGGAUUCAAGACUCUGGCUGAAGGCCAAAAAGUAGAGUUUGAAAUUACUGAGGGUGCGAAAGGUCCAUCUGCUGCAAACGUUGUCGCAAUCUAAUUUCGAAUCCCGUAUUCUGAAAACCCGUUUUGAUAACGGGUUUUUUUA
Molecule: small RNA, 363 nt
Filed under: Xenorhabdus thuongxuanensis
Lineage: Bacteria; Pseudomonadati; Pseudomonadota; Gammaproteobacteria; Enterobacterales; Morganellaceae
Description: cspA
Rfam family: cspA thermoregulator
Source: RNAcentral